UACGGAGGAUCCGAGCGUUAUCCGGAUUUAUUGGGUUUAAAGGGUGCGUAGGCUGUAAGGUAAGUCAGCGGUGAAAUGCCCCCGCUCAACGGGGCGAAGUGCCAUUGAUACUGCCUUGCUGGAAUGCGGAUGCCGUGGGAGGAAUGUGUGGUGUAGCGGUGAAAUGCAUAGAUAUCACACAGAACACCGAUUGCGAAGGCAGCUCACUGGACUGCAACUGACACUGAGGCUCGAAAGUGUGGGUAUCAAACAGG
Molecule: ribosomal RNA, 254 nt
Filed under: uncultured Bacteroidales bacterium
Lineage: Bacteria; Pseudomonadati; Bacteroidota; Bacteroidia; Bacteroidales
Description: partial 16S ribosomal RNA
Rfam family: Bacterial small subunit ribosomal RNA
Source: RNAcentral